CGGUCUAUUCUUGCCCAUUGUGCAUCAUUUUGGUUAGCAAUUGUUCAGUUUUACUCGCCAUAAGUUUGUUGCUGUUAAAAAUAAAGCUUGCGAUAAGUACUUAUGCAAUUUCUUAGUUGUUUGCUGCAAUGGUACCUCCAAUCUAGUGCUAGUGGGCAUGCUAGAUUUAAAUUUGUGCUACUCUUGCAAGCAUAGAUGUGGUAAAACACUUCUUUUGUGGGUAACAAUUGAGAUGAAGUGGCCUUGCAUUGGUUGACUGAACAAAGGAGGUAAUAUCCUAGUGAAGACUGGAACUAUGCUAUAACUUGCUUGCAUCAGGAAAAAUGUAUGUAAUGGUGUAAGCAAAUAGUAUGUAAAAAAAAACUAAUUCCCUGUCACCGCCCCCAGAGUCGACCUAAAUGUUUGUUCAGAAAUUUGAACCGUGACAGCACCGAAACCAACAUGACUUUGUACAUAUCAGUGAUCAAGUGUAGGUUUGUAGGUAGACUCUUCAACAGAAUAAUAAAAUACAGAUUUAGCAAAUAAAGCUAUGUAUGCUAAUACAACUUAUUUAGUUAUUCUGCGGCUUCAGCACUGUCAUGUAUUCAUCGUAGCUGAUGUACGAUGAUUUUUUGAUGAACUAUACUGCUUAGCUUGUUGGACAUGCAGAUUUUGUAGAAAAUGAACAAUAAUAAAGUAGUUGUACCACUGCUAUAGACAUGCUUUUCUUUGGCCCCAUUUAGUAUUUAUUCAUCCACAUGAUUAUAUCCAUGCUUUAAAAAAUCCAGUAUGUUAUUGAUCAUUUCCAUUUUGUCACAUCAGCACUAGGCCAGUAGCUAUAAGAGACUCUUUGGUUCUGAAACUAUGGGCAGCUUGUUGCUAGCUUUAGCGACAGGUAGCAAUCUGUGGCUUCGAUGGGCGGCCAGGUCUCCAAAGGUCAACCACUGCCCAUGUACUGACGAAUUACGCAGCACACAACCACUGCCCAUGGCUCUGAUGUGAAUGUGGCAAGGCAACUGAACAAGUUUUCCAUGGCCAGAUCGACGGCAAUGCGAUGCCAUACAAUCACAUAUAUCAAACAUCAAGUGCUCAACAUUAAAUGGGAAUGGCAUAUAGCUUCUGCUCUCAACUAAGCAAGCCUGGCAAUUAUGGCAAAUGGAAAGGAACUAGCAUUUCACUCCAUAGAUGAUUCUGCCAUUUGGACAAUGUAAUUUGUUACAUAGAUUGUUUCCACUGUUUAUUGUAGGGCAAAUGAGUCCACGCUUGUAGUAGUUCUUAUGGAUGCGAUUGUGCAUCAGUGUUACAAUGCUCUCCAGUCAUCAUGACACUUUAUUUAUGCCAGGAUUCUUAUACUGUGUUGGCACCUGGAAUUCUUAGGUCACAUUUUAUCCAAUUUUUAAUGGGAAGAAAUGUAUUUAAUUA
Molecule: long non-coding RNA, 1401 nt
Organism: Lolium rigidum
Lineage: Eukaryota; Viridiplantae; Streptophyta; Magnoliopsida; Poales; Poaceae
Exons: 2
Source: RefSeq, a predicted model, not a curated record